MicroRNA precursor from Tupaia belangeri (northern tree shrew), 81 nucleotides. NCBI's taxonomy places the organism in Eukaryota, Metazoa, Chordata, Mammalia, Scandentia, Tupaiidae. The record is from Ensembl.
CCGCCGGCCAGAGGUGGGAUUCCGAGGCCUCUCCAGUCUGCCAAGGGCACACCUCUGGCCUGUCUCACCCACCACGCUGGG